CAUCAGCAUUGCGAGCCGACAUAACUGCAACGCGCCUCAAUUCAACAGGUUGCAUACUCGAGGCAAGCAGGAAACUCGGCACCGCUCACACACACUCACAUACGCUCUCCUCAGACGCUACUCAGCAAGCCGGUGGGCGUGGCACGACGGACCUUUAACACAACAAAUUUCGCACCGGUUUCAACGCGAGCAAGUGCGAACCAGAGAGACUCGCGGCUGCGGUUUCGGUCCUAGACGAUUUCGGCGCUUUUCCCGACGACGGCUCACCCCUUUCUAGAGAUGGAUACCUUCGGAGUGGACAAGGUCUUCUACGAGGACCUCACAGAGCUCUGGGACUCGGAUAUGGAACCGGUAAUGCACGAUGUGCUACGCGAAGACGGGCCCGACUGUUGGACAGGCGGAGGGUUGCUCGACUCGAAAAUGCCAGGGGUGGUUCUGCACGACCGACUAAUGACAGAUGCCGCCCUGGGGGCAGUGCCCAUAAAAACGGAGCACUCGUACAGCCUGGCCUCGGAUGGCGACAGCAUGCCCGAAUCGCCGAUCAGCCUGGAAACCAUGGAAGACGAUGAUGAUCUUCUCCUCACUAUGAAUAUGAAGAAGAACGCAAUGAAGAGCGAAAAGGAGUCAGAAAUCACAUUCCUGGAUGUGAAGCAGGAGCCUCUCAGUUCGCCGCCCUCGCCAGACUCGUCCUCCGACGACGACGCCCGUUCCACAAUCUCGGUUGGCGACAAUGAGAAUCCAAUCACCAUGAUGGACUUGGUCAAACAAGAGAGCAGGGUACCCACACAGUCACAGAGCCUGCUCAAGCAGCCACAAACAAUAUACCUUACUACCAGAGGCAACGUCUUUGGCCAGCAACAAGGCCGCGUCGUCAUUCCAAAACUGAACAUCAAAGUCGAGCCAGGCACUGCUGGUUUCUCCUUGCCACCAACUCCUCCCUCGUCCAACUCAAGCGACAGCGAGGGCAACGUUUCACCCCUUCACGGCUCACCCCCGUCCCCCCUGACCGCUGGGGGUCGCUCGAUUCAAGCGCGCCAGAGCAGCAGCAGGUUGUACCUGUCCGGCAGCAACAGCAGCGCCUCCAACAACAGCAACAACCAGGCCCACUGCAGACAGCCCAUCCAAACGCCACUCAUCAGCACACAGCCUAAGGGCACAACUGGUAUGUUGUCAUUAACUGAAGAGGAGAAGAGGACCCUCCUGGCCGAAGGCUACCCCAUUCCAACCCGACUGCCCCUGACCAAGGCGGAGGAAAAGUCACUGAAAAAGAUCAGGAGAAAAAUCAAGAACAAGAUCUCAGCCCAGGAGAGUCGACGCAAGAAGAAGGAGUACAUGGAUGCGCUUGAGAAGCGAGUCGAGAACCUGCUUAAUGAGAACUGCGAGUACAAGAAGAAAAUUGAGUCUUUGGAGGGCUCCAACUCAAAUCUGCUCUCGCAACUGCACAAACUGCAGCAGCUCGUCAACCAAAACAACGCAUCAGCACCUCGCAGCAGAGCAUCUGCAUCGUCCACGUCUCACCACUUCACGAGGAAUUCAUUAAAAUAAGUUGUGACCUCACCUGCACAUUUCAACUAACCAUUCCAUCCACUGUAUAGUCUUCAGGGUUUGGCCAUCACUGUAAAUAAUUCAUCAAACAUCUCAUAACUAGUCUUCCGUCCUGUAUAAAUCAUAAUAUGGGAACAAACAAAAGGGCAACUUUGGAGCCAACCUGAACUGGUAAAACUUUGUCCGCGAGGUUUUAAAUUCAGUGGCUGAAUUUAAGCUCUUUCGCAGGCAAAAGCUAUCCCAGUUCACCACUCUAAAACAUUCCACGGAAUUUAUCAAAGAUCCACUACUCAAGAAAGACAUCAACUAAUACACUAAAGUGGCAUGGACUUGUUCGAGCAAUGGGCAAACUCGCAAAUAAUCAAGUGCAAUCAAUAUAUAAUUUGUGUUAUAGCGUCAAGAUUUUUUUGUAAUUCGUUUUAAGCACGGUUUGAUUUGUUAAUUUUAUAUGAAAUGUACAGCCUGUGUGUGAGCACGGGACAUCCAUUAUUCCAUUCAUUAUUUAAGAAUCAUAAAAUGUGUAUGAUAGGUUUUAAAUUGUAAGGCUAGCUCACUUAAUUAUUAUGUUUUUCUGAUUUUAAACCUGUUACGCAUCAAGAACGGUAACACACAAGGAUUGCCAAAACUGCAUCAGUUUUGCUUAUUUUAAAAUAUCAUGAGAUAUCAAAUUCAUUCAAGACGACACUGUUCGUACUUUUUUUGACAUUUUUCAAUUCACGUGAGUUUGUUUUGUUUUUCCAUACAAGUUAUGUCUAGUCUUGCUUGUUUUGUAUGUGGAGAAAGAUAUGAGAGGCGGAGCAGAUUAGACAAAUUUAGAAGUGACAAACGGAGAGCAGUGUCGUAGUGUACGGAGAUGAGGGGAAAGUGAUGAUUCCUAAUUAUUAUUGCCUUAUUACCAAGACACAAAUGAACGGAUAGAGAAAAUGUACAUAUUUAUAUAAUGAGAGACAAAAUCAAGAGAAAUACGUCGUUGAUUUUAAAUCACAUUGUUAUAACCAAUGAUAUAUAUCCAUGUUAAAUUAUUAUUACACAAUGCAUUGAGGGAGGUUGUGCCGGUAUACGCGGGGCUAGAAAAUUCAGGACAAAAUGAUGCCACAAUGUGACAUUCAUGCAACUCUUUUGUGCAGAAUUUACAGCUUGCCAUGGUCUGUCCAAUCGGCCGAGCUCCCAUUUAAAGCAAAACUUUAAGGUCGGUGGCUGGGUUGAGACUUAAAAAAACUUUAUAAAAAGCAGAGUCAAAACUCGUUAUCACACAUUCAUAAUCGAUUCAACUAAAAUCUACUCUUAUAUUGCUUUAAUUUAAGAACUGAUGAUGAAUAUCAACACAGAUUACUUAACACGAUUUACAAGGGCUCGAGAGCGUUUCGCCCCGAUAUAUUUUUAAUAAGCCUAUAUACAUAUAUGAUACAUACAUUAAAUGCAUAAUUACAUACAUUAAAUGAAUAGAGAUAUAUACAGCCGUGUUGCAUACACAUUCAUGAUUGUGGCCGUUUAGGGUUUAGUCGGUGCUAAAAUGACUGAAACACAAAUUAAUUAUCCAUUCCUUGAGACUGGGACAGAAAUCAAUUUUCAACUCUCGAUGCUGAAAGUAAAAUGUGUCUGUCUCCGAGAGCUCCAAUACAAUUGUUGAAGAAGGAAACUGAUUGUCAAUUAAAAAUCUAACAAACAGCUAAUCAGGCAAUUUUCAACGUGUCUAUUAAAUGUCUAUUCAACACUCAGCAGCAGCUAUAAUGCUUUGUUUUGAGAACGAAAUCUUCGUGUCUAUAUUGUGCAGAAUAGCCAAAUGUUAAAGAAGUGAUGCAAGGAUUAUAAAAACGAUGAGCGCGGCCUAAAUUGAAUUAUCCAGUAUGAUCGAAAAAAUAUGAACUAAAUUUCCAUAAUCAAACACCGACUGUUUUAAUUUAAAUUUUGAAUUCAUUUCGUUUAAAAGAGUGCGUGUUGUUUUUCGUACUUGUCUUUGUCUAGGCACCUCUAUUUUUGCGCUUAUGUUGUUAUUUUAAUAUUUGAAAUUAAGUAACCGCCAAUUUCAUACUUUCCAUGAUAAGCAUUUGUUUUUUUAGUUUUUGACGCGUUCGUACUUUUUUUUUGCGAUUUUGAGGAUUUUUACCAUACACAAUUAAGUUGCUCAAAGCACACCUUUCUGUCUCAUAACGCUGGUUAAAUUUCAAACAUCCGGCCUGUUUUGAAUUGUUUUCGUGUUCGAGUGUCAAUCAUUCGUUCAUAAUUUAAUAUUCAUUACCCAUCCCCAAAAAUAUAUGCAGUGAUCAAUGGCUGAAAAUUGUCAUUCAUGAUGUCAAUUUAGCUAAACAGAGGAACAAACUACCUAAGUUUUAAGAGAGUAUAACAUAAUUUUGUUGCUCCGUUUUCUCACAAAACAAUUAUGAAGGUGAUGUAGACGUUCUUUUGAAUCGCAGGGGAUUUUUAACAAACUCUGUAUUUAUCGUCCUAUACAAACCAGACAACUACAUCAUAGUGUCACACAGCUCUGUAUGUUCUACUUGUAACUGUCAGAAUGUAACCAGGAUUCAUUAUUGUAUCUCGUGCUGGUAUGUUGUUUUCAAUGCAAUCAAUGAAUUGAAUAAAAGGGUACAAGUGAAAAAAUUA
Molecule: RNA transcript, 4149 nt
Organism: Neocloeon triangulifer
Lineage: Eukaryota; Metazoa; Arthropoda; Insecta; Ephemeroptera; Baetidae
Gene name: cyclic AMP response element-binding protein A-like
Exons: 9
Source: RefSeq, a predicted model, not a curated record